CUUAUAACUGUAAACCCAUAGCACUGCCAUUCCAGGAGAGACCACCAGUAGACUGGUGUCAGUUGAGCCUCCUCCAACCAUACCCUACAGUGAUGGGAACAGCCAAAGGAGCACCAAAUUUACCAAUAAAGAAUGCUCCUGUCUUGUCUGCAAAUAAUAAAAACAUCAACCUCCAGAUUAGAAAAUUGAUGUGUUGCUUUCCAUAAAAACAAAUGUUCCAGUCCUUCUUGACUCAUUCCCCACAGGUGCCAGGCGCAAUGCUACCUGGCUGACCUCUGCUGAAGAUGAAUACGGAGCCGGAGGUGUGGGGCUAUUGGGGAAAACCCUGCCCUUUCCUGGCCAAAGUCCCGCUGAGUUCACUGAGCUAGAGCUGGGAUUUAAGUUGGGAGGGGAGGAAGAAAUGUGAAUUUCAAGAGUUGGGAGGGGUUUAUUAUUAUUAUAGCAAAAUCACCCGGCCUUUCCAGCACAGGUUUCCAGCAGAUGUUGGCAAACUGUAUUCACUCCUCUUGGUCCUGCCCAGGACUCGUUUCUGGACAAGAUACUCUGAAUCAGAAAACCAUCUGAAAUAAUUCUUCAUUUUCUAAUUGGCUUUUAUCGCUACAAGCCCUGCAAGCAUCAGGUCAGCCCCAUUAGUUUAAUGGGCACAGAGGAAUUUUUAGAAUGACUUACUGACCGUGGAAAAAUGUGUUCAGCAGACAGUAUCAGCAUCAGAUCAAAAAAGCAAAAUCAUGCAAGGCCUUUGAAAAGAAAAACAGCUGAUGGGCUUGGAGCAAAGCGACCAGCGAAGCGGUACUGUCUGAGCACAGGCGAGGGAGGGAGGCAUUUUGGGUGUCAGCCAGCUGGGUGGAAGGACACAGCCAGAUUUGCCUGUAUUUAUAUUUCCCAGAAGAGCCCUGGGCUGUGUAGUGUUGGGAUUUGCUAUGCUACACCUGAUCUUCAGAGCUCCGAGGCAUUGGGAUGGGGCACAGGUCUGCAAGCGAUGCUCCGUGUGUAGGGCUCAGCCCAGGAAAUGUGAUGGAGGCAGGACCCCAAACUUGUGUGCAAGCAAGUUGGAGGAUAAGGGAGAAAACCACAGUGACCUCUGAGUCAGGUAAUUUAGGGCCGACGCGUCUCCCUUUCACUCCCCCCCAUAUAUUCUAUGUUGUGCCCCCAAAGCAUUUAGCACGGGCCAUGCUUUAUACCUCCUGAGCACUGCUUUGUGAAGCAUGCUCUGAAAGCUGGGAUAGAUUUAAGGUCUCAUUUUGCAGACCCCAGUGCCUGUUUGUUUACUGGUUUGUGUCGCUUUACAUUUCCAAUUAAAACAAAGCUUUCUAAAGCCUAUAAAGCCUCCAAGAGAAUAUGCUGGUGGAGCAGGAAGGAGCCUUGAAGCUGUCGAUUACUAUGAACUUUCCGUGACACCGCUCAGCGUCUGUUUCCAGACUUAUAUUUAUUUAUGAAUGUAGUAGCAUUUAUUACUGAUUUUAUCUGCAAAGAUAACACUUCUUCCCUAGAUGUUUUCUACGCUUCGGUUAUAAUUACUGCCUGCUUCUCAAACAUACUUCUGCAUUAUUUAGCAUGGUACAAUGUCAGAGCUGCAACAAUGGCAAUUUAUUACUGGGAUUCUGGGGUUACACCUGAUCUGGGGAACACAUACAGAUCUCCAUGUUCCCAUGUGUGCCUUCAUCUGAGGACAUCUCUCAGAGACCCUCAUAGUGCAGAUAGAGCCAGGAACUCUGUUUUCUGCUAAAGUGGGGAUUGCACAAAGCCCCUGCUUGAAGGGAUACAUCACCAAGGCACUGGAAUGGGCUGCCCAGGGAGGCGGUGGAGUCACCAACCCUGGAGGUGUUCAAGGAAUGUUUGGACAUUGUGUUGAGGGACAUGGUUUAAUGAGAACUAUUGGUGAUGGGUGGAUGGUUGGACUGGGUGAUCCUGUGGGUCUUUUCCAACCUUGGUGAUUCUAUGAUUCUGUGAUUCUAAGGCACAGCAUAGACACAUUGGAACAUCUUUUCUUCUGCCUGCAGCCAUUGGGUGCUGGAGGCAGCAUGGUGAUGGUACCUUUCCCCCUCAAGCAGGAAAAGGUGUUAAAAGGCACACUUGGCCACAGCUCCUGAAAAAAAACAAUGGCAUGGUUUAGUGGAUGUUGUGGUAAUGGGUCAACAGUUUGCCUGGAUGAUCGUAGUGAUCUUUUCCAACCUUAGUGAUUCUCUGAAAAAUGAGACUGUCUAGCAAAAUGUGAUGUCACUUAUCUCUUCUGUGCCCACCUUGCUCUUAGCCUACAUCUUCCCUCCCUGAGAAUCAGACAUGGCAUGGGUUUAUACUCCACUAGCCAUCAAAGGAUCUGUUUCACUGUUAGUCCAUGCUUAGUCCACUGUUAGUCCAGUCUCUUUAAGCCACUGAGACUGAAGUGAAUACUUACAGUUAAGCAUUAAAAACAAUAAAAUAAAAUAAAAUAAAAUAAAAUAAAAUAAAAUAAAAUAAAAUAAAAUAAAAUAAAAUGAAAAAAAAACAACACUUUUUUGAUGUUAUCGAACUCCAAUGCUGUUGGCUGUGGAGUCUCCAUCCUUGGAGAUACUCGAAUCCCAACUGGACUCAGUCUUAAGCUGCUAUAGUUCCCCCUACAUUAAGGAACUGAUGUAAUCAAUCAAAAGGCAUCUGAUGUAAUCAAAGGAGGAAGAAAGGAAGUUUUUCACCCAGAGGGUGGUGACACA
This 2687-nucleotide long non-coding RNA is filed under the name Gallus gallus (chicken). Lineage: Eukaryota; Metazoa; Chordata; Aves; Galliformes; Phasianidae. The record is from RNAcentral.